GAUCCUGGCUCAGGAUGAACGCUAGCUACAGGCUUAACACAUGCAAGUCGAGGGGAAACGAUAUUGGAAGCUUGCUUCCGAUAGGCGUCGACCGGCGCACGGGUGAGUAACGCGUAUCCAACCUGUCCACCACUUGGGGAUAACCUUGCGAAAGUAAGACUAAUACCCAAUGAUAUCUCUAGAAGACAUCUGAAGGAGAUUAAAGAUUUAUCGGUGAUGGAUGGGGAUGCGUCUGAUUAG
This 240-nucleotide ribosomal RNA is filed under the name uncultured bacterium. RNAcentral describes it as "partial 16S ribosomal RNA". It matches the Rfam family "Bacterial small subunit ribosomal RNA", at positions 15 to 244 of the family's 1533-position model. The record is from RNAcentral.